Molecule: ribosomal RNA, 597 nt
Filed under: uncultured Fusobacteriota bacterium
Lineage: Bacteria; Fusobacteriati; Fusobacteriota
Description: bacterial SSU rRNA
Rfam family: Bacterial small subunit ribosomal RNA
Source: RNAcentral
ACGCGUAAAGAACUUGCCUCACAGCUAGGGACAACAUUUGGAAACGAAUGCUAAUACCUGAUAUUAUGAUUAUAUGGCAUCGUAUAAUUAUGAAAGCUAUAUGCGCUGUGAGAGAGCUUUGCGUCCCAUUAGCUAGUUGGAGAGGUAACGGCUCACCAAGGCGAUGAUGGGUAGCCGGCCUGAGAGGGUGAUCGGCCACAAGGGGACUGAGACACGGCCCUUACUCCUACGGGAGGCAGCAGUGGGGAAUAUUGGACAAUGGACCGAGAGUCUGAUCCAGCAAUUCUGUGUGCACGAUGAAGUUUUUCGGAAUGUAAAGUGCUUUCAGUUGGGAAGAAACAAAUGACGGUACCAACAGAAGAAGUGACGGCUAAAUACGUGCCAGCAGCCGCGGUAAUACGUAUGUCACGAGCGUUAUCCGGAUUUAUUGGGCGUAAAGCGCGUCUAGGUGGUUAUGUAAGUCUGAUGUGAAAAUGCAGGGCUCAACUCUGUAUUGCGUUGGAAACUGUAUAACUAGAGUACUGGAGAGGUAAGCGGAACUACAAGUGUAGAGGUGAAAUUCGUAGAUAUUUGUAGGACUUGCCGAUGGGGAAGCCA